GGGGAAUAUUGGACAAUGGGCGAAAGCCUGAUCCAGCCAUGCCGCGUGUGUGAAGAAGGUCUUCGGAUUGUAAAGCACUUUAAGUUGGGAGGAAGGGUUUCUGGCUAAUAUCCAGGAAUUUUGACGUUACCGACAGAAUAAGCACCGGCUAACUUCGUGCCAGCAGCCGCGGUAAUACGAAGGGUGCAAGCGUUAAUCGGAAUUACUGGGCGUAAAGCGCGCGUAGGUGGUUCGUUAAGUUGGAUGUGAAAGCCCCGGGCUCAACCUGGGAACUGCAUCCAAAACUGGCGAGCUAGAGUAUGGCAGAGGGUGGUGGAAUUUCCUGUGUAGCGGUGAAAUGCGUAGAUAUAGGAAGGAACACCAGUGGCGAAGGCGACCACCUGGGCUAAUACUGACACUGAGGUGCGAAAGCGUGGGGAGCAAACA
This 426-nucleotide ribosomal RNA is filed under the name uncultured Pseudomonadaceae bacterium. RNAcentral's name for it is "bacterial SSU rRNA". It matches the Rfam family "Bacterial small subunit ribosomal RNA", at positions 356 to 774 of the family's 1533-position model. Lineage: Bacteria; Pseudomonadati; Pseudomonadota; Gammaproteobacteria; Pseudomonadales; Pseudomonadaceae. The record is from RNAcentral.